UAGAGGCAGGUGGAGCUCUGUGAGUUCGAGGCCAGCCUGGUCUACACAAUGAGUUCAAGGCCAUCCAGAGCUAUAUAGUAAGACCCUGUCUUAAAAA
RNAcentral lists this microRNA precursor (97 nucleotides) under Nannospalax galili (Upper Galilee mountains blind mole rat). Its description in RNAcentral is "miRNA (ENSNGAG00000005615.1)". Lineage: Eukaryota; Metazoa; Chordata; Mammalia; Rodentia; Spalacidae. The record is from RNAcentral.